RNAcentral lists this ribosomal RNA (403 nucleotides) under uncultured bacterium. Its description in RNAcentral is "partial 16S ribosomal RNA". It matches the Rfam family "Bacterial small subunit ribosomal RNA", at positions 28 to 526 of the family's 1533-position model. The record is from RNAcentral.
GACGAACGCUGGCGGCGUGCCUAAUACAUGCAAGUCGAACGCAGUGGGGACGGGUGAGUAACACGUGGGUAACCUCCCAUCAGAGGGGAUAACCCUUGGAAACAGGUGCUAAACCGAUCCUGAUGGAUGGACCCGCGGUGCAUUCGCUAGUUGGUGCGGUAACGGCUCACCAAGGCCACGAUGCAUAGCCGAGCGGAGAGGGUGAUCGGCCACACUGGGAUGUAGACAGGGCCCAGACGCUUACGUGAGGAAGCAGUAGGGAAUCGUCUGCAAUGGACGAAAGUCUGACAGAGCAACGCCGCGUGAGUGAAGAAGGUUUUCGGAUCGUAAAACUCUGUUGUUAGAGAAGCGGUAUCUAACCAGAAAGCCACGGCUAACUACGUGCCAGCAGCCGCGGUAAUAC